This 443-nucleotide ribosomal RNA is filed under the name uncultured bacterium. RNAcentral's name for it is "partial 16S ribosomal RNA". It matches the Rfam family "Bacterial small subunit ribosomal RNA", at positions 338 to 795 of the family's 1533-position model. The record is from RNAcentral.
CCUACGGGCGGCAGCAGUGGGGAAUAUUGGGCAAUGGGCGCAAGCCUGACGCAGCAACGCCGCGUGAAGGAAGAAGGCUUUCGGUUUGUAAACUUCUAUUCUCAGGGACGAAGCUAGUGACGGUACCUGAGGAAUCAGCCACUGCCAACUACCUGCCAGCAGCCGCGGUAAUACGUAGGUGGCAAGCGUUAUCCGGAUUUACUGGGUGUAAAGGGAGUGUAGGCGGGAAAGCAAGUCAGAUGUGAAAACCCUGGGCUCAACCUGGGGACUGCAUUUGAAACUGUUCUGCUUGAGUACUGGAGAGGGAGACGGAAUUCCUAGUGUAGCGGUGAAAUGCGUAGAUAUUAGGAGGAACACCAGUGGCGAAGGCGGGCUGCUGGACAGCAACUGACGCUGAGGCGCGAAAGCGUGGGGAGCAAACAGGAUUAGAUACCCCAGUAGUC